ACUAUUUUGGCAGAUAAGUGCAAUAAAUUUAGAAUUUAUUAAUGUAAAGUAUAUUUUAUAGAUAGUA
RNAcentral lists this transfer RNA (67 nucleotides) under Balta vilis. RNAcentral describes it as "tRNA-Leu". Lineage: Eukaryota; Metazoa; Arthropoda; Insecta; Blattodea; Pseudophyllodromiidae. The record is from RNAcentral.